Molecule: long non-coding RNA, 701 nt
Filed under: Rattus norvegicus (Norway rat)
Lineage: Eukaryota; Metazoa; Chordata; Mammalia; Rodentia; Muridae
Description: long non-coding RNA NONRATT028158
Source: RNAcentral
CGAGCCACCACCGACUUGAGGAUCUCUGUGGUGAUAGACGGCAGUGCCCGCUCAUUUUAGUCCUCGCCAAUGCUGGUGUAGAUAUGAGGAAGCUGGCUGGCCACCGGCCGGAAGAGGAUGUGAAGUACGAUGUUGACGUUCUGCAAGUCUUUGCCACCAGUGAUGACUGGUACAUUCCCUGGUCGAGAGCUGCAGUCAAAGAUAAUUGGCUUCUGUACCCAAGGGUUGAGAACGAUGGACAGAGACUCCCAAAUCCUCAGUGACUCCCCAAAGUCUCCAAGAAGAGAAGGGCACAGUCACGAAGGUCAUCACCUGAACUGUGGUAUGAUAACCACUGAGCUUAACUGUCCUGCUGUCCUUGGCCUGGCCUGGGCUGUGGACACAGGACACUGGAGAAUUGAUUGCCACACGGUGCAUGGACAAGGUGAGGUCAGUCUUCCCACAGGAAAAGCCCCUUCAUCUUCAGGGUCCGAGGCCAAAGACUGCCUCUGCCUCGGUGCCAUGGAGACACAGGAGCCUGGGGCAACUGUCAAGACGCCACCAUCCAGGGAUCUUCUGUGGACUGCACACUGCCGAGCUCUGGACUUACUGAGAGCCACUGUCACCAGUCCUGCUGAUGUGACUGCGCUGUCAUCCAGCUGGAUCAGCCAAUCAGCUGCUUCUGAUGGAUGUCUCACUGCAGGCUUUUUUUUUUUUUUUUU